GACGAACGCUGGCGGCGUGCUUAACACAUGCAAGUCGAACGGAAAGGCCCUUCUUUUGUGGGAUGCUCGAGUGGCGAACGGGUGAGUAACACGUGAGUAACCUGCCCUUGCCUUUGGGAUAACUUCAGGCAACUGGGGCUAAUACCGGAUAGGAGCUCCUGCUGCAUGGUGGGGGUUGGAAAGUUUCGGCGGUUGGGGAUGGACUCGCGGCUUAUCAGCUUGUUGGUGGGGUAGUGGCUUACCAAGGCUUUGACGGGUAGCCGGCCUGAGAGGGUGACCGGCCACAUUGGGACGGAGAUACGGCCCAGACUCCUACGGGAGGCAGCAGUGGGGAAUAUUGCACAAUGGGCGGAAGCCUGAUGCAGCAACGCCGCGUGCGGGAUGACGGCCUUCGGGUUGUAAACCGCUUUCGCCUGUGACGAAGCGUGAGUGACGGUAAUGGGUAAAGAAGCACCGGCUAGCUACGUG
RNAcentral lists this ribosomal RNA (468 nucleotides) under uncultured bacterium. RNAcentral's name for it is "partial 16S ribosomal RNA". It matches the Rfam family "Bacterial small subunit ribosomal RNA", at positions 28 to 507 of the family's 1533-position model. The record is from RNAcentral.